Molecule: long non-coding RNA, 4210 nt
Organism: Acanthochromis polyacanthus (spiny chromis)
Lineage: Eukaryota; Metazoa; Chordata; Actinopteri; Pomacentridae
Exons: 2
Source: RefSeq, a predicted model, not a curated record
GGCUUCUGAUGGAGAUGCUAUCGCUGGGCGCUUCAUGGCCAUCCAUCCCCUUCACUUAGCUAAUAGCCGCGGCGCGAGAACGAGGGAUCGACAGCGGAAAAAUAGACGAGUGGAAGAUUCAUCUCAUCCUCCAAAUGAGGAAGUCUGUUGGAGCUGCAUGACAGAACCGUUCCAGCACUGGCUGAAGUUAGGAGGAGACCAUGAGAACCAGUCUCCAUCUUCAUCUUCCUCCUUCUUCUUCACGUAUCUUCUCUCCUUUUAUUCUUCUUUCUCUGGUUCUUGGGGUUCCUCUCUGGUUCUAGGGGUUCCUCUCUGGCUCUCUGGGUUCCUCUCUGGUUCUAGGGGUUCCUCUCUGGUUCUAGGGGUUCCUCUCUGGCUCUCUGGGUUCCUCUCUGGUUCUCUGGGUUCCUCUCAGCUGCUUUUAGAACAUUACUGAUGUUUAAAGGUUCCUGAAGAGGUUCUGAUCUCCAGUAGCUAAAUGAAUCUGCUUAUCUCCUCAACAUACAUGAAGAGAAGUCUAUCAUUGUAUCAGUACUGCAGUAAUCCUCAGAGUACUACUACUUCCUGUACUACCACACAGCUGGGACAAAGUACUUCAUAAUAUCACUGCAGUUAGAACUUUGAUCUCUACAGCGUUGGAUCAUCUCAGAGGUUCAGUCCUCCUCAGAUACCCUGAAACAGCUUCAUGACUUCUGUCCUCCAUGUUUAGGGUUUAUAUAAGCUUUAUUUAAGGUUUGUUAGAGGUUUAUUUAAGGUUUUUAAAGGCUUAUUUGAGGUUUUUCAAAGGUUUUAUUUAAAGUUUUUUAAGGUUGAUUGAAGGUUUGUCUAAGGUUCACAAAGGUCUGUGUAGUUUAAAGGUUCCAUCAGCGUUCUGGGUCGAUCUCAGAUGUUUUAUUGACCCGUCCAUCCACCCCAACCUCUCCUCCGGCUACAGAUUUCUGAUCAGUUUGAUUUUUACCUCAGUACUAAUGCAGUAUUGAUGAUGCUGCAGUUAUUGAUCAGGAGAAAUAUUCUAAAUUAACGUCCUGCUACAAACUGUUCUCACUAUAGACACCUGAGUGGUAGAAGAUGUAAACAGCGGAUCAGCUGGAGGUUUGAUAUCAAUCAGUUAAAUUAAUCAAUCAUCUGAUCAAUCAGAUCGUCUCUGAUUCCAGCUGAUCAUCAUCUCAAUAAACAAUCACAGCCUCUGAUCUUCUAACUGCAGCUUCACUGAAAAACACUGAAAAAGACUGUACGCUGCUGACAUGAGUGUGUGUUACUGUGUGUGUGUGUGUGUGUGUGUGUGUGUGUGUGUGUGUUAACGUGUGUGUGUGUGUGUGUGUGUGUGUGUGUGUGUGUGUGUGUGUGUGUGUGUGUGUGUGUAGUUGUUUCUGCUAUACCGGUGGGGACUUUGACCUGACUAUUUGCUAUAAAGGUGGGGACUUGUCUUACGGUGGGGACCUAAAAUGAGGUCCCCACGGGUGGCAACAUCGUUUUCUUGGCCAUAUUGUUGUUAAUAAAAAUGUAAAAGUGCAAAAACGUUUGUUUAGGGUUAGGCAUUGAUUUGGUGAUGGUUAAGGUUAGUGUUAGGGUUAGGAGUUAGAUAUGAAUGGGAGUCAAUGGUAAGUCCCCACCGGUAUAGAAAAACAAACGUGUGUGUGUGUGUGUGUGUGUGUGUGUGUGUGUGUGUGUGUGUGUGUGUUACUGUGUGUGUGUGUGUGUGUGUGUGUUACUCUGUGUGUGUGUGUGUGUGUGUGUGUGUGUGUGUGUGUGUGUGUGUGUGUGUUACUGUGUGUGUGUGUGUGUGUGUUACUGUGUGUGUGUGUCUCGGUGUCUCCGGCUCAGAUGGAUGUUCCACCGGCUCUGAAAGAGCAGGAAGUAGCUCAGUGACACCCCAUUUAUACCGACACACACCAACCUGUGUGUGUGUGUGUGUGUGUGUGUGUGUGUGUGUGUGUGUGUGUGUGUGUGUGUGUGUGUGUGUGUGUGUGUGUGUGACAUCACUCUCCUUAAAUGGCCUCCAGUUCACAAUAACUGCAACAAAACCUUCCUUGUAUUUAAUUAUAGCUCCAGACAGCAGCUCUUUAUAAAGACUCUUUCAUGCCAAAGUGAAGGCAGAUUUCACUGAAUAAUGUCAACCAGUCAAAAUAGAAGAUGUGAAAUAUAAAAUUAUAUCAAUAUUCACUUUAUUGGAAGUCAGCAGUUAAUGGAUGAUCUGAUUGGAGCAUACAGAUCCUGGAUCUGAAGGUCCAGUCUCUGGUGGAUCAGAACUCCUGGAUAGAACUACACCAUGAAGACUGAAGAACCAAGAAACUUUGAGGAAAAGUUGUUGAAAAGCAUCAGUCAGGAUGAUACAAGAACAUUUAAAGUUCCUGAAAUCCAUCAUGAAGAAAUGGAAGAAGAUGGAACAUGAAUAAAUCUGACUAGAGCAGGACGUCCUCAAGACCUGAGAGACUAGAGAGGGAGGCCACCAAGACUCCUAUGACUCCUCUGAAGGAGUUACUGGAAAGAUCAUGGUGGUGGUAGUAUCAUGAUGUGAAGCAUGGUGGUAGCAUCAUGAUGAAGCAUGGUGGUGGUAGUAUCAUGAUGUGAAGCAUGGUGGUAGCAUCAUGAUGAAGCAUGGUGGCGGUAGUAUUAUGAUGUGAAGCACAGUGGUUGUAGUAUCAUGAUGUGAAGCAUGGUGGUGGUAAUAUUAUGAUGAAGCAUGGUGGUGGUAGUAUCAUGAUGAAGCAUGGUGGUGGUAGUAUUAUGAUGAAGCAUGGUGGUGGUAGUAUCAUGAUGUGAAGCACGGUGGUGGUAAUAUUAUGAUGAAGCAUGGUGGUGGUAGUAUCAUGAUGUGAAGCAUGGUGGUGGUAGUAUUACGAUGUGAAGCACGGUGGUGGUAGUAUCAUGAUGUGAAGCAUGGUGGUGGUAAUAUUAUGAUGAAGCAUGGUGGUGGUAGUAUCAUGAUGUGAAGCAUGGUGGUGGUAGUAUUACAAUGUGAAGCACGGUGGUGGUAGUAUCAUGAUGUGAAGCAUGGUGGCAGCAUCAUGAUGUGAAGCAUGGUGGUGGUAGUAUCAUGAUGAAGCAUGGUGGUGGUAGUAUCAUGAUGUGAAGCAUGGUGGUGGUAGUAUUACGAUGUGAAGCACGGUGGUGGUAAUAUUAUGAUGAAGCAUGGUGGUGGUAGUAUUACGAUGUGAAGCAUGGUGGUGGUAGUAUUACAAUGUGAAGCACGGUGGUGGUAGUAUCAUGAUGUGAAGCAUGGUGGUGGUAAUAUUAUGAUGAAGCAUGGUGGUGGUAGUAUUACGAUGUGAAGCAUGGUGGUGGUAGUAUUACAAUGUGAAGCACGGUGGUGGUAGUAUCAUGAUGUGAAGCAUGGUGGCAGCAUCAUGAUGUGAAGCAUGGUGGUGGUAGUAUCAUGAUGAAGCAUGGUGGUGGUAGUAUCAUGAUGUGAAGCAUGGUGGUGGUAGUAUUACGAUGUGAAGCAUGGUGGUGGUAGUAUCAUGAUGUGAAGCAUGGUGGUGGUAGUAUCAUGAUGAAGCACGGUGGUGGUAGUAUCAUGAUGAAGCAUGGUGGUGGUAGUAUCAUGAUGUGAAGCAUGGUGGUGGUAGUAUCAUGAUGAAGCAUGGUGGUGGUAGUAUCAUGAUGUGAAGCAUGGUGGUGGUAGUAUUACGAUGUGAAGCAUGGUGGUGGUAGUAUCAUGAUGUGAAGCAUGGUGGUGGUAGUAUCAUGAUGAAGCAUGGUGGUGGUAGUAUCAUGAUGAAGCAUGGUGGUGGUAGUAUCAUGAUGAAGCAUGGUGGUGGUGGUAUCAUGGUCUCUGGGAUCUCUGUCGUCAUGAAUGAAGUUCUUUUUUUACAUUUAUUCAGCUCGUUUUUGAAUGACUGAUUUUCCAGAACGACAACAUUAAAGUAGUUCUGAGUCUAAUCCGUCCUUAGACUCUGUUUCUGGACGUUUUUAUGGUAAUAAACUGAAUAAAUGUGUUUAAUAUUUACUUUAAAAACAGCUGUUCUGUUUGUUUCUGAUGUGUAACAGAGAUUUUAUAGAAACCAAACAGUUUAAAUGUGUUGAAAAGUGAACAUAGUUUUACUGUCUAAGUAUUUGUAGUCUUCUGUGUGUAUUAACGUCAGUGUUACUGUGGAUUUAAACAGCCAGAAUUAAUGUAAUAUAUUAAAUUAAUUGUUGUUUUUAAGUGUUAACAGAAAAUGUCAGUGUUGUAAAUACACAAUAAAGAGUGUGUAAUGAGCCUCCUGUA